AACUUUCGACAACGGAUCACUUGGCUCUCGCAUCGAUGAAGAACGCAGCGAAAUGCGAUACGUAAUGUGAAUUGCAGAAUUCAGUGAAUCAUUGAAUCUUUGAACGCACCUUGCGCCCCUUGGAAUUCCGAGGGGCACACCCGUUUGAGUGUCGUGAACAUCCUUCAACCUUUCUUGGUUUCUUGACCGGGGAAGGCUUGGACUUUGGGGGUCUUUCAUUGCUGGCCUCUUUGAAGCCAGCUCCUCCUAAAUGGAUUAGUGUGGUCUGCUUUGCCGAUCCUUGACGUGAUAAGAUGUUUCUACGUCUUGGGUUUCGCACUGUCGCUUUAGACCCCGCUUCUAACCGUCUUGCAUUCAAGACAGAGUUUUAAACCUUGACCUCAAAUCGGGUGAGACUACCCGCUGAACUUAAGCAUAUCAAUAAGCGGAGGCU
RNAcentral lists this unclassified non-coding RNA (433 nucleotides) under uncultured Russula. RNAcentral's name for it is "sequence contains ITS2". The stretch from base 1 to 154 matches the Rfam family "5.8S ribosomal RNA". Lineage: Eukaryota; Fungi; Basidiomycota; Agaricomycetes; Russulales; Russulaceae. The record is from RNAcentral.